Molecule: ribosomal RNA, 460 nt
Filed under: uncultured bacterium
Lineage: Bacteria
Description: partial 16S ribosomal RNA
Rfam family: Bacterial small subunit ribosomal RNA
Source: RNAcentral
CCUACGGGAGGCAGCAGUGAGGAAUAUUGGUCAAUGGACGAGAGUCUGAACCAGCCAAGUAGCGUGAAGGAUGACUGCCCUAUGGGUUGUAAACUUCUUUUAUAUGGGAAUAAAAUGUUCCACGUGUGGGAUUUUGUAUGUACCAUAUGAAUAAGGAUCGGCUAACUCCGUGCCAGCAGCCGCGGUAAUACGGAGGAUCCGAGCGUUAUCCGGAUUUAUUGGGUUUAAAGGGAGCGUAGGUGGAUUGUUAAGUCAGUUGUGAAAGUUUGCGGCUCAACCGUAAAAUUGCAGUUGAAACUGGGAAUCUUUAGGACAGUAGAGGUGGUCGGAAUUCGUGGUGUAGCGGUGAAAUGCUUAGAUAUCACGAAGAACUCCGAUUGCGAAGGCAGUUCACUGGACUGCAACUGACACUGAGGCUCGAAAGUGUGGGUAUCAAACAGGAUUAGAUACCCGUGUAGUC